AUUGAACGCUGGCGGCAUGCUUUACACAUGCAAGUCGAACGGCAGCGCGGGCUUCGGCCUGGUGGCGAGUGGCGAACGGGUGAGUAAUGCAUCGGAACGUGCCCAGUAGUGGGGGAUAGCCCGGCGAAAGCCGGAUUAAUACCGCAUACGACCUGAGGGUGAAAGCGGGGGACCGAAAGGCCUCGCGCUAUUGGAGCGGCCGAUGUCGGAUUAGCAAGUUGGUGGGGUAAAGGCUUACCAAGGCGACGAUCCGUAGCUGGUCUGAGAGGACGACCAGCCACACUGGGACUGAGACACGGCCCAGACUCCUACGGGAGGCAGCAGUGGGGAAUUUUGGACAAUGGGGGCAACCCUGAUCCAGCCAUGCCGCGUGAGGGAAGAAGGCCUUCGGGUUGUAAACCGCUUUUGUUCGGGAAGAAAUCCUCUGGGCUAAUACCCCGGGGGGAUGACGGUACCGGAAGAAUAAGCACCGGCUAACUACGUG
RNAcentral lists this ribosomal RNA (484 nucleotides) under uncultured bacterium. RNAcentral describes it as "partial 16S ribosomal RNA". It matches the Rfam family "Bacterial small subunit ribosomal RNA", at positions 29 to 507 of the family's 1533-position model. The record is from RNAcentral.